Molecule: ribosomal RNA, 116 nt
Filed under: Legionella pneumophila
Lineage: Bacteria; Pseudomonadati; Pseudomonadota; Gammaproteobacteria; Legionellales; Legionellaceae
Description: partial 16S ribosomal RNA
Rfam family: Bacterial small subunit ribosomal RNA
Source: RNAcentral
CGAGGGCCUGACUGAGCAAAUCCUUAAAAGUCGGUNGUAGUCCGGAUUGGAGUCUGCAACUCGACUCCAUGAAGUCGGAAUCGCUAGUAAUCGCGAAUCAGCAUGUCGCGGUGAAU